CCUACGGGUGGCAGCAGUGGGGAAUAUUGCACAAUGGGGGGAACCCUGAUGCAGCGACGCCGCGUGAGCGAGGAAGUAUUUCGGUAUGUAAAGCUCUAUCAGCAGGGACGAAAAAAGACGGUACCUGACUAAGAAGCCCCGGCUAACUACGUGCCAGCAGCCGCGGUAAUACGUAGGGGGCAAGCGUUAUCCGGAUUUACUGGGUGUAAAGGGGGCGCAGACGGCAGCGCAAGCCAGGAGUGAAAGCCCGGGGCCCAACCCCGGGACUGCUCUUGGAACUGCGCGGCUGGAGUGCAGGAGGGGCAGGCGGAAUUCCUGGUGUAGCGGUGAAAUGCGUAGAUAUCAGGAGGAACACCGGUGGCGAAGGCGGCCUGCUGGACUGCAACUGACACUGAGGCUCGAAAGUGUGGGUAUCAAACAGGAUUAGAUACCCGAGUAGUC
Molecule: ribosomal RNA, 441 nt
Filed under: uncultured bacterium
Lineage: Bacteria
Description: partial 16S ribosomal RNA
Rfam family: Bacterial small subunit ribosomal RNA
Source: RNAcentral